Molecule: non-coding RNA, 375 nt
Organism: Grammomys surdaster
Lineage: Eukaryota; Metazoa; Chordata; Mammalia; Rodentia; Muridae
Source: the annotation of a RefSeq genome assembly
AUGGAUUCACAGGCCCAGGUCCUCAUUUUGCUGCUGCUCUGGGUGUCUGGUACUUGUGGGGACAUUGUUAUGACUCAGUCUCCAUCCUCACUGGCUGUGUCAGCAGAAGAGAAGAUCACUAUGAGUUGCAAGUCCAGUCAGAGCUUUUUAUCAAGUGGAAAGAGCUACUUGGCCUGGUACCAGCAGAAACCAGGGAAGUCUCCUAAACUACUGAUCUACUGGGCAUCUCCUAGGGAAUCAGGGGUCCCUGAUCGCUUCAUAGGCAGUGGAUCUGGGACAGAUUUCACUCUCACCAUCAGCAGUGUGCAGGAUGAAGACAUGGCAGAUUAUUACUGUCAACAGUCCUACAGCGAUCCUCCUCCCACAGUGUUUUAG